RNAcentral lists this ribosomal RNA (461 nucleotides) under uncultured bacterium. Its description in RNAcentral is "bacterial SSU rRNA". It matches the Rfam family "Bacterial small subunit ribosomal RNA", at positions 917 to 1382 of the family's 1533-position model. The record is from RNAcentral.
GGGCCCGCACAAGCAGUGGAGUAUGUGGUUUAAUUCGAAGCAACGCGAAGAACCUUACCAGGACUUGACAUCCCUUGACAGCUUAAGAGAUUAAGCUUUUCUUCGGAACAAGGAGACAGGUGGUGCAUGGUUGUCGUCAGCUCGUGUCGUGAGAUGUUGGGUUAAGUCCCGCAACGAGCGCAACCCCUGUAGUUAGUUGCCAGCAUUAAGUUGGGCACUCUAGCUAGACUGCCGGUGACAAAUCGGAGGAAGGUGGGGACGACGUCAAAUCAUCAUGCCCCUUAUGUCCUGGGCUACACACGUACUACAAUGGCUAUCACAGAGGGAAGCAAGACCGUAAGGUGGAGCAAAUCCCCAAAGGUAGUCCCAGUUCAGAUUGUGGGCUGAAACCCGCCCACAUGAAGUCGGAAUUGCUAGUAAUGGCAGGUCAGCAUACUGCCGUGAAUACGUUCCCGGGCCUU